UGAUCAGAAAGAAUAUUUCAUCGGAGUGUAACUGAACUUGUCUGGACUUAUGUUGUUCUAAGUGUGUAUUGCCUUCUUUGUUCAAUCAAUAGUCAUUAUUCCAAUGCUUUUAUUACUUUAAAAGUUUAAGAAUAGUUAUAAGGUAAUUAUUAUUAUUUACCCCCUUUCUAUAUAUUUAUCUACAAAAAUACAUACAAAAUGAAAUUAAUAUAACUAUUUUUUUCAUUUUAGAUGAAAUGCCCAUUGAACUGGUCAAAAACAAACCAGGGCCCGGAUUCACAAAGGGUGUCAUUAUAUAUGAUGUCGUUCACUAACGACAUUGUUAAAUUUGACAUCUUAACGAUUUGUCGUAAAUGCUAUUCACAAAACGUAUCGUUACCUACUUGGCAAUUAGCGACAAAAUUAUGGGUGUCUUGUUUCGAGAGUGUGGAAAUGACUUCAAUGUUUCCAUGAAUGUAACCAAUAAGAAAAUAAGCUUGCUUGUGAGUAAAAAUGGAGGAGGAGAGUAAAAGCAAACAAUUAUCAAACA
This 529-nucleotide long non-coding RNA is filed under the name Androctonus crassicauda. Lineage: Eukaryota; Metazoa; Arthropoda; Arachnida; Scorpiones; Buthidae. The record is from RNAcentral.